UUCGUAUAAAAGAAACAAAAUAAGAUUGAAAGAAAAACAAUAAGUAAACAAAGAACUUAAAAUGAGAAUAGACAAAGAAACCUCUUUUGCUUUGAUCUUUGAUUAAUCUUCAAAAAAAACUAGCUUUUCCAAAAACUAGCCUUCACAAUAACUCUUCUCCUUGAUUACUUUAAAAAGAAACCUCUCCAAAAAUCCUUUACAAUAACUUUC
Molecule: long non-coding RNA, 210 nt
Filed under: Gossypium barbadense (sea-island cotton)
Lineage: Eukaryota; Viridiplantae; Streptophyta; Magnoliopsida; Malvales; Malvaceae
Description: long non-coding RNA (GBAR_LNC006744)
Source: RNAcentral